RNAcentral lists this ribosomal RNA (301 nucleotides) under uncultured bacterium. Its description in RNAcentral is "partial 16S ribosomal RNA". It matches the Rfam family "Bacterial small subunit ribosomal RNA", at positions 509 to 809 of the family's 1533-position model. The record is from RNAcentral.
CAGCCGCCACGGUAAUACAGAGGGUGCGAGCGUUAAUCGGAUUUACUGGGCGUAAAGCGUGCGUAGGCGGCUUUUUAAGUCGGAUGUGAAAUCCCUGAGCUUAACUUAGGAAUUGCAUUCGAUACUGGGAAGCUAGAGUAUGGGAGAGGAUGGUAGAAUUCCAGGUGUAGCGGUGAAAUGCGUAGAGAUCCGGAGGAAUACCGAUGGCGAAGGCAGCCAUCUGGCCUAAUACUGACGCUGAGGUACGAAAGCAUGGGGAGCAAACAGGAUUAGAUACCCCUGUAGUCCCUGUCUCUUAUAA